RNAcentral lists this ribosomal RNA (840 nucleotides) under uncultured bacterium. RNAcentral's name for it is "SSU rRNA". It matches the Rfam family "Bacterial small subunit ribosomal RNA", at positions 361 to 1217 of the family's 1533-position model. The record is from RNAcentral.
AUAUUGCACAAUGGAGGAAACUCUGAUGCAGCGACGCCGCGUGAGUGAAGAAGGUUUUCGGAUCGUAAAACUCUGUCCUUGGUGAAGAAAAAAAUGACGGUAGCCAAGGAGGAAGCCCCGGCUAACUACGUGCCAGCAGCCGCGGUAAUACGUAGGGGGCGAGCGUUGUCCGGAUUUACUGGGCGUAAAGGGUGAGUAGGCGGUUAUAUAUGUCAGAUGUAAAAGGCGUAGGCUUAACUUACGUUAGCAUUUGAAACUGUAUGACUUGAGUGCAGGAGAGGUAAGUGGAAUUCCUAGUGUAGCGGUGAAAUGCGUAGAUAUUAGGAGGAACACCAGUGGCGAAGGCGACUUACUGGACUGUAACUGACGCUGAGUCACGAAAGCGUGGGUAGCAAACAGGAUUAGAUACCCUGGUAGUCCACGCUGUAAACGAUGAGUGCUAGGUGUUGGCCAGCGAUGGUCAGUGCCGCAGUUAACACAUUAAGCACUCCGCCUGGGGAGUACGUACGCAAGUAUGAAACUCAAAGGAAUUGACGGGGACCCGCACAAGCAGCGGAGCAUGUGGUUUAAUUCGAAGCAACGCGAAGAACCUUACCAAGGCUUGACAUCCCCUUGACCAGUGCAGAGAUGUACUCUCUCCUUCGGGAGCAAGGGUGACAGGUGGUGCAUGGUUGUCGUCAGCUCGUGUCGUGAGAUGUUGGGUUAAGUCCCGCAACGAGCGCAACCCUUAUCCUUAGUUGCCAGCAAGUAAAGUUGGGCACUCUAAGGAGACUGCCGAUGAUAAAUCGGAGGAAGGUGGGGAUGACGUCAAAUCAUCAUGCCCCUUAUGUCUUGGGCUAC